Molecule: ribosomal RNA, 540 nt
Filed under: uncultured bacterium
Lineage: Bacteria
Description: bacterial SSU rRNA
Rfam family: Bacterial small subunit ribosomal RNA
Source: RNAcentral
UAGGGAAUAUUCCACAAUGAGCGAAAGCUUGAUGGAGCGACACAGCGUGCACGAUGAAGGCCCUCGGGUUGUAAAGUGCUGUUGCAAGGGAAAAACAGUUAGUUGAGGAAAUGCUUCUAAUCUGACGGUACCUUGUUAGAAAGCGAUGGCUAACUAUGUGCCAGCAGCCGCGGUAAUACAUAGGUCGCAAGCGUUAUCCGGAAUUAUUGGGCGUAAAGCGUUCGUAGGCUGUUUAUUAAGUCUGGAGUCAAAUCCCAGGGCUCAACCCUGGCUCGCUUUGGAUACUGGUAAACUAGAGUUAGAUAGAGGUAAGCGGAAUUCCAUGUGGAGCGGUGAAAUGCGUAGAUAUAUGGAAGAACACCAAAGGCGAAGGCAGCUUACUGGGUCUAUACUGACGCUGAGGGACGAAAGCGUGGGGAGCAAACAGGAUUAGAUACCCUGGUAGUCCACGCUGUAAACGAUGAUCAUUAGUCGGUGGAAAACUACUGACGCAGCUAACGCAUUAAAUGAUCCGCCUGAGUAGUAUGCUCNAAAAGAGUG